CGGCCGCCUCCGCGCGUCCCACAGGGACCAUCCUCUCCGCUCCCGGCCUCAGUGCGCAGGGCGGGAGACGGGGCGCACCCCGGCCAGGCUCGCAUGGACCUCCCGCGCCGCUGGCUCUUUCGAAUGUUGCUGCUCGUCGCCACCAGCUCCGGGAUUCUCUUCAUGCUGUACUCCUCGGCGGGGCAGGGGUCCCCGGAGACCCAGGUUCCCGCCAGGCAAAACUGCAGGUCCCAAGUCCUCCGGGAUGCUGCUGGGGUAAUAAAGGAGUGGAGCAUCUGGCCACCGUCCUCUGAACAGGCUCCCUCCGCUCUCCCCCUCUGCCCUGAGGAGCACCACGUCGCCUAGAGCAUUCUUUGAGCCCAAGGCACCGAAUUCGGAAAACAGAAAGAGCCCAUCCUGCCAACACUCGCUAUCCCUGGCCAUUCAGAAGGACCAUCGCUUCCGGGGCCUGUUUGACCUCUCCACCCCAGUGCUUCUGUGGGACGGCCUCUUCACCCAAGAGCUGUGGAAUAAUCUGAGUCAGCACAAAGUCCCCUACGGAUGGCAGGGGCUCUCCCGGAAAGUCAUUGCCUCUACCCUGACACUUCUGAAGGACCCAGAGAGCGCAGAGCUGUUUGGUGCCUCCGGGAAACUACCCCUGAGCUGUAUCAGCUGUGCCGUGGUGGGUAAUGGAGGAAUUCUGAAUGGGUCCCGGCAGGGUCAGAAAAUC
RNAcentral lists this long non-coding RNA (709 nucleotides) under Rattus norvegicus (Norway rat). Its description in RNAcentral is "long non-coding RNA NONRATT006298". Lineage: Eukaryota; Metazoa; Chordata; Mammalia; Rodentia; Muridae. The record is from RNAcentral.